Molecule: long non-coding RNA, 1517 nt
Filed under: Nicotiana tabacum (common tobacco)
Lineage: Eukaryota; Viridiplantae; Streptophyta; Magnoliopsida; Solanales; Solanaceae
Description: long non-coding RNA (NTAB_LNC013060)
Source: RNAcentral
CAAGACGAACUACAAAUGCAAAGUCAAGAUGGCAAAAGAUCCGAAUCAAGAGGCAUGCCAAGAUGAGUGACCAAGUCACUGCCACAAGAAGGACAAAGUCUCAACAAGAAUGCAAAAUGAUCAAACAAUCCGUACGAAUGGGCGAUUUAGCAAAUUUCUGACAAGACUUAAUAUAAUACGAAUAUAACAAUAUAAAUUGAAGACAAUAAAAACAAAAUAUCAAGUUAUUUCAACAUAUUUCCAGCAAACCAAAAAGAGUACAAGUUUAUACACAAACCUUGAUAUUUUACCACAAAACAGCUCAAUCACAACUUGGGGACGUUCGAAUCGUCUACGCCAUAAACAAACCAAAUCUGUCCACUUCCUCAAACACUUCCCCUUUGAUUUUUUUCCAAGGAUUUAUAUACCUUAAAUACAUAAUCAAAUAUCCAAAUAAGUUCAAUGAUUUAACAAGUCAAACUAAACAUGAUAUUGGUAAAAAUUACCCAAAAACGUUUGAAACAGAAAUUCUGGACAGUAUUACUAUUCCGAGUUGUGACUCAGUUUUGAAGAUCUAUAAGGACAAACUAGACUUUAUAGUCUUCACAAAAGUUGUAGCUCUAUGUCUUACCGUUUCAGAACAUCUUGAAUCACCACCAUAUCAAUUUUGAACAAAAAGUUAUGCUAAAAUUACUAAUAGCAGUACAUGGAAUAUUUCUUAAACUGGAAAUCUGGACAGCACCUGCCCUGUACUUUCUGACUCUUUUUCAGGUAUAUAACAACAAAACUAGAUUUUAAUUCCUUCAUAAGAGUUGUAGAUUUAUGAAAUACCUUUCCAGAAAGUCCUAGAUGACUUAAAUCGGAGCUCUGUACAAAAAGAUAUGUAGAAAAUACUAGUAGAUGUCUAGUAUAAAAACAGGUUUAGAAACUUACCAAGAGGAGCAACUUGAUCUUCACCAAAAACGAAUUUUGUGCGUUGAUUUAGUAGAAAUCCAUGUUUUUUUUUGAUGAACCUUCAGCUUCUUGUUCUUACGGAGGAGAGAGAUAGAGAGAGAUAGAGAUAGAGAGAUAGAGUAGAAAGAUAGAGAUAGAAAGAUAGAGAGGUAGAUAGUUAUUCUUCUUUGUUUCUGAAGAGUAGAAGAAUAGGGAGCUUAUGGAUAGAUAUGAAAUAAAAUGGUUCCUCAACUACUAAAUAUUCUUAGAUAAAUACAAAAGGUUGGAAACCCAAAACUUAAUUAUAUACUAUAUUUAAUAACAACUCGUCAAAAUAAUAUUAAGUGUUACAUAUAGCAACACCAUGGAACUUCCUUGUCAAUAUUAACACAGCCUAAAGUAAGAAAUUUUCAUAUACUGACCAUUUCACAUUUAGGAAGUGCAAAGUAAAAUAUUUCCUCGUUAUAAAAAAUGCUCAAUCAAAAAUACAAAUAUUAUAAAAAAUUUGGGGUGUUACACAGUUGUGGUACUAACCUUGGUUCCUUUUUUCUCACGAAUUUGUGCAUAGACACACAAGUUCGUUAUAAUUUAAAAUUGUUACAUAU